Molecule: long non-coding RNA, 223 nt
Filed under: Elaeis guineensis (African oil palm)
Lineage: Eukaryota; Viridiplantae; Streptophyta; Magnoliopsida; Arecales; Arecaceae
Description: long non-coding RNA (EGUI_LNC081977)
Source: RNAcentral
UCUCCCUCUCUUUCUCGCUGAGCUCCUUGAUUCUUUUCUACUGUUGCCUAGUCUCCUCUCUGACUUGACCGUCGGAGGAUCUCCGUCGGAGUCACCUCUGGUCAGUGUGGACUUCCCUUGCAGGUGCUCGUUUUCGGCGACCAGGCGAUGAGGGGAUUGGCCGCAACAGAUCGUAAUACAAGCUGUCAAAUUUUUUUCAAAAUUUUAAAGAAAAACACAUUUU